RNAcentral lists this ribosomal RNA (484 nucleotides) under uncultured bacterium. RNAcentral describes it as "partial 16S ribosomal RNA". It matches the Rfam family "Bacterial small subunit ribosomal RNA", at positions 30 to 507 of the family's 1533-position model. The record is from RNAcentral.
AUUGAACGCUGGCGGCAUGCUUUACACAUGCAAGUCGAACGGCAGCGCGGGCUUCGGCCUGGCGGCGAGUGGCGAACGGGUGAGUAAUACAUCGGAACGUGCCCAGUAGUGGGGGAUAGCUCGGCGAAAGCCGGAUUAAUACCGCAUACGACCUGAGGGUGAAAGCGGGGGAUCUUCGGACCUCGCGCUAUUUGAGCGGACGAUGGCAGAUUAGCUAGUUGGUGGGGUAAAGGCCUACCAAGGCGACGAUCUGUAGCUGGUCUGAGAGGACGACCAGCCACACUGGAACUGAGACACGGCCCAGACUCCUACGGGAGGCAGCAGUGGGGAAUUUUGGACAAUGGGCGAAAGCCUGAUCCAGCAAUGCCGCGUGUGUGAUGAAGGCCUUCGGGUUGUAAAGCACUUUUGGCGGGAACGAAAAGGACUGUGCCAAUACCACGGUUCGAUGACGGUACCCGCAGAAUAAGCACCGGCUAACUACGUG